Molecule: long non-coding RNA, 391 nt
Filed under: Equus caballus (horse)
Lineage: Eukaryota; Metazoa; Chordata; Mammalia; Perissodactyla; Equidae
Description: lncRNA (ENSECAG00000046097.1)
Source: RNAcentral
CUGGACAUUAUCUGUGAAAGCAACGUAAGAAGCCUCUGAAAGAUUGAAAGAAGAAGGUGAACUGGCUAGGGACCUCAGGACCCAGGAAACAGCAUGGUGAUGAGUUCCCUGUGUUCUCUUUUAGCCUCACAUAUCCCAGACUUGGAGCAGAAGAAGCGGGCAACCUAGAAACAACGAGUGCACACAAAAAAGAGUCCCAACAAAAGACUGCUAUCUCUAGCCAAAGGACCAGAAAGGGAGUAGUCUGCUUAUUUCUUUCUGGUGCUGAAUAAUAUUCCAUUACAGUAGUCCCCUGUUAUCGGUGGGAAAAAUCUUCCAAGACCUCCAGUGGAUACCUGAAACCACAGAUAGUACCAAACCUUGUAUAUACUUUCUUCUUUUCCCUUAAAAG